This 445-nucleotide ribosomal RNA is filed under the name Taenia multiceps. RNAcentral describes it as "partial 12S ribosomal RNA". The record is from RNAcentral. Lineage: Eukaryota; Metazoa; Platyhelminthes; Cestoda; Cyclophyllidea; Taeniidae.
GUUUUCUUUGCUUUUAUAUAGAUUAUGUGUGUUUAUUUAUAUUUAAAAAUAGGUCAAAUUUUUUUAUUUAAGUUUUAAAUAUUCAUUUUUGUAUAAAAUUUAUGUUUGUGACAGGGAUUAGAUACCCCACUAACGUAUUUUGUAGUAUUAUCUUAGUUUAUUAACUAAAAUGGUUUGGCAGUGAGUGAUUCUUUUUAGGGGAAGGUGUGGUGUAAAGGAUGUUCCGCCUAUUAAUUUACUUUUAUUACGUUGGUGUAUAUCUGGUUUAAUAUUAUUGUUGAAUAAUAUUAGUUUGUGUAAUUUUAUUAGUUAAGCCAAGUCUAUGUGCUGCUUAUAGAAGUAUUCAUGCGUUACUUUAAUAAAGUUUUAGUUGUAAGUACUAUCAUAUUCAGGACUUAAAAGUAAUGUUAAAUUAGUUUGUUAAUGUGAAAUAAGUUUAGCUCAU